Molecule: unclassified non-coding RNA, 1332 nt
Filed under: Hevea brasiliensis (rubber tree)
Lineage: Eukaryota; Viridiplantae; Streptophyta; Magnoliopsida; Malpighiales; Euphorbiaceae
Source: RNAcentral
GGCCUGUCUCUUUUUUUUAUCGGAAUAUAGAAGGAAAGGCGGACCCCUCCGAUAAUAGAAAAGACUUUUCUUUACUUUACCUAAAAGCACGCCCAAUGUGUUAUUUUAAUUAAAAAUUAAAAAAAGAGUGAGCGAUCUGCACCGCCGGUUCAUAAUAGGGGCUUCCUGCCCCGAAAUUUAUAAGGCUAUCAUAGAUCUGUGCCAACAACGAAACAUUAGUUGGGUCGUGCGCUACCAUAACUUCUAUUACAUCAUAACUAGUUUUGUUUGCCGGAAGAAGAACGUGGUUCGUCUCAAAGAGGGGGUCCAAUACCCUUUGAGAGAGUUGUUCUUUAAGGGUGUCGGCCACGCUCUCACUUACCCGCUCUUGAUAAUCUUGUGGGGUCAGCCCCCUCAGUCUAGCGACGCGCCACACCGCCAAACACCAAGCCAAAGUGGGAACUACAUAAUGUAAGUUAUCGCUAACUAAUGUAAAUACAAAAUUAAGCACAAGAUCCCGGUCCAUUCUAUUCUAUUAUUGCGAAAAAAUGAUUCCCUCCAGAAAGAGAAAAAGACUCCUUCCUUAGUGAGUAGUGAAGAACUAUAGUAUAGAAAAAGGUUGGUUGUUGACCAACAAAGAAAUGGGAAUGAAUGGAAAGCAAGGGAAAAAGAAAGAUGCACAAACGAAAGUUUAAGAUCUCGACACCAAGGGAGUUUUUCCCUUUGACGUAGCGGCGUACGCAACCUCAAUCAUCUCGUCAUUGGCAAGAAAAGUCCACCAUCGGUAGCUCAAUGGAAAACACGUUUACAGUCAAUGAGUGAGAGAAUAAGCAGUCGCAUCACUUAUUUAUGUAAUUUCUCAGUGCUCAAUGGAGCAGCGAGCUAGCUAGGGACAGAGACGGGUAGGGGUAGCGGUUACCUUUGCCCCGAGCCACGGAGUUCUUCUGUUUGGACCAACCUCUUCUCGAGCCAGCUUUGAACUUCGUGUAGACGUGGAUCGACCAAGACAGACACCUCCAGCGACAGCGCAUUCUUCUUUCUUACGAUAAUUCCAACUGAGUGGAUACCGAUACGUAAUACUAAUACUGGGUCAUUUCAACUGUAAAAAAAGAAUGAGAAUGGGAGGGAAAAAGCACUGUGCCGAAGCCCCAAUGGGGCCGAGUCAUGGACUGGUUGGAUCUAACCUAAGGUCCCAGUCCCUCGGGAACAGUGUAAAUAGGCAAGCAGUUCAGGCUGAGAUGGUGAGCGGCUAGUCCCUUUACACAGAAAGAAAGAAAAAAAAGAACUCAGAGACAGAGAGCUUGGAGAACCUAGAACGAGGUAAACCCUGUGCUCACAGGAAACAACAUAAAC